Molecule: ribosomal RNA, 300 nt
Filed under: Cliona viridis
Lineage: Eukaryota; Metazoa; Porifera; Demospongiae; Clionaida; Clionaidae
Description: eukaryotic LSU rRNA
Rfam family: Eukaryotic large subunit ribosomal RNA
Source: RNAcentral
CCAAGGAGUGCAACAUGCGUGCGAGUCUUGGGGUGGAAAACCCGUCGGCGCAAUGAAGGUGAAGGCAGGCGUUGGUCUGCCCAGGCGAGAGCCUCCCACGGGGGCGCAUCGUCGACCGAUCCCAGGCUACGCUGUGGCGGGAUUUGAGUAAGAGCGUGCCUGUUGCGACCCGAAAGAUGGUGAACUAUGCCUGAAUAGGGUGAAGCCAGAGGAAACUCUGGUGGAAGCUCGUAGCGAUUCUGACGUGCAAAUCGAUCGUCAAAUUUGGGUAUAGGGGCGAAAGACUAAUCGAACCAUCUA